UGAGGAAUAUUGGACAAUGGGCGCAAGCCUGAUCCAGCCAUGCCGCGUGCAGGAAGAAGCAUCUAUGUGUUGUAAACUGCUUUUUUCCGGGAAGAAACCCCCCUUCGUGAAGGAGCUUGACGGUACCGUAAGAAUAAGGAUCGGCUAACUCCGUGCCAGCAGCCGCGGUAAUACGGAGGAUCCAAGCGUUAUCCGGAAUCAUUGGGUUUAAAGGGUCCGUAGGCGGUUUAGUAAGUCAGUGGUGAAAGCCCAUCGCUCAACGAUGGAACGGCCAUUGAUACUGCUAGACUUGAAUUAUUAGGAAGUAACUAGAAUAUGUAGUGUAGCGGUGAAAUGCUUAGAUAUUACAUGGAAUACCAAUUGCGAAGGCAGGUUACUACUAAUGGAUUGACGCUGAUGGACGAAAGCGUGGGGAGCGAACA
RNAcentral lists this ribosomal RNA (422 nucleotides) under uncultured bacterium. Its description in RNAcentral is "bacterial SSU rRNA". It matches the Rfam family "Bacterial small subunit ribosomal RNA", at positions 355 to 774 of the family's 1533-position model. The record is from RNAcentral.